GACGAACGCUGGCGGCGUGCUUAACACAUGCAAGUCGAACGGAAAGGCCCUGCUUUUGUGGGGUGCUCGAGUGGCGAACGGGUGAGUAACACGUGAGUAACCUGCCCUUGACUUUGGGAUAACUUCAGGAAACUGGGGCUAAUACCGGAUAGGAGCUCCUGCUGCAUGGUGGGGGUUGGAAAGUUUCGGCGGUUGGGGAUGGACUCGCGGCUUAUCAGCUUGUUGGUGGGGUAGUGGCUUACCAAGGCUUUGACGGGUAGCCGGCCUGAGAGGGGGACCGGCGACAUUGGGACUGAGGUACGGACCAGACUCGUACGUGAGGCAGCAGUGGAGAAUAUUGCACAAUGGGCGGAAGCCUGAUGCAGCAACGCCGCGUGCGGGAUGACGGCCUUCGGGUUGUAAACCGCUUUCGCAUGUGACGAAGCGUGAGUGACGGUAAUGGGUAAAGAAGCACCGGCUAACUACGUG
This 468-nucleotide ribosomal RNA is filed under the name uncultured bacterium. RNAcentral's name for it is "partial 16S ribosomal RNA". It matches the Rfam family "Bacterial small subunit ribosomal RNA", at positions 28 to 507 of the family's 1533-position model. The record is from RNAcentral.